Molecule: ribosomal RNA, 496 nt
Filed under: uncultured bacterium
Lineage: Bacteria
Description: partial 16S ribosomal RNA
Rfam family: Bacterial small subunit ribosomal RNA
Source: RNAcentral
ACGAACGCUGGCGGCGUGCCUAAUACAUGCAAGUAGAACGCUGAAGAGAGGAGCUUGCUCUUCUUGGAUGAGUUGCGAACGGGUGAGUAACGCGUAGGUAACCUGCCUGGUAGCGGGGGAUAACUAUUGGAAACGAUAGCUAAUACCGCAUGAAAUUGCUUAUCGCAUGAUAAUUGAUUGAAAGAUGCAAUUGCAUCACUACCAGAUGGACCUGCGUUGUAUUAGCUAGUUGGUGAGGUAACGGCUCACCAAGGCGACGAUACAUAGCCGACCGGAGAGGGUGGACGGCCACCCUGGGAGUGGGACACGGCCCAGACUCCUACGGGAGGCAGCAGUAGGGAAUCGUCGGCAAUGGGGGGAACCCUGACCGAGCAACGCCGCGGGAGUGAAGAAGGUUUUCGGAUCGUAAAGCUCUGUUGUAAGAGAAGAACGGGUGUGAGAGUGGAAAGUUCACACUGUGACGGUAUCUUACCAGAAAGGGACGGCUAACUACGUG